CAGCCGCCGCGGUAACACGGAGGGUGCAAGCGUUAAUCGGAAUUACUGGGCGUAAAGCGCACGCAGGCGGUCUGUCAAGUCGGAUGUGAAAUCCCCGGGCUCAACCUGGGAACUGCAUUCGAAACUGGCAGGCUAGAGUCUUGUAGAGGGGGGUAGAAUUCCAGGUGUAGCGGUGAAAUGCGUAGAGAUCUGGAGGAAUACCGGUGGCGAAGGCGGCCCCCUGGACAAAGACUGACGCUCAGGUGCGAAAGCGUGGGGAGCAAACAGGAUUAGAUACCCCUGUAGUCCCUGUCUCUUAUAC
RNAcentral lists this ribosomal RNA (301 nucleotides) under uncultured bacterium. RNAcentral describes it as "partial 16S ribosomal RNA". It matches the Rfam family "Bacterial small subunit ribosomal RNA", at positions 509 to 807 of the family's 1533-position model. The record is from RNAcentral.